AGACGUCGCGUACGGUGUUGGUGAUAAUACGGGUUUUGCUUUCCAGUUCGCCUUUAUUGCAUUUGUUAGAAGUUUCGGAAUUGAUAACUAUAUAAAUGUAUAUAUCAAAAUGUGCGUAAUUAAAAGUAGAAAUGGAAUAUGCCUUAAAAUCAAUACUUUUAUUCAUUUUGUUACUCGAAUGAUCCCUAAUAACACUGAUUUUGAGCGUGUAGACAAGUAACACCGCGACAUAUGAUCAGCGUUGCUUUGAAGUUAUUCUUGUCAUUUUUUAAACUUAUUAAAAAAAAGUUGUACUCCUAGCAAGAGUAGUCUUUGGUGUUAAUGGUGUAUGUUUUAUUUAUGACGUCAUCGUUAACUGGACGCGUCUGACCAGGACGAAAAGUUCACUUUGUUUUGUGGUCAAGCCGAAAAUUGAAAAAAAAUAUGGAUAGGGGUGAAGUUAAGAGUGAUUUUAAAAGGUAAUUCAAAUAGAUUAUUCCGAAAAUGAUAUAUCUUUUUAUUCCGUAUAUAAUAAGGAAAAAAAAUAAAAAGUUUUGUUACAACAUUUCAAAAGAUCGUGGCAGAAUUAAUGAUUUUUUUGAAAUUUGUAUUUCUGUCACAAAACCCAAAUCUCGCAUAUUUUUUGGAGCUCUUCAAAAUUCGAACGAAUGCUGCAGAUCCAAACCACAAUUUACAUAUCCACCCUUCCUGUGUCAAAAUUAUACAAUAAAUAUACAACUUUCUAUGUCUUCAAUUAGUAAGUAUUGUUUAAAUUAUGUCCUAAAUUGUUCAUUUUAUUAAAUCCGUUGAAAUGUCACACUCGCCGUUUUCUGACGUUUUGGCGUAUUUGUUAAGUGUCUUAUGAAAAGUAAUAGGCAGUUGCAGUCUUUUCUACGAUAUGAAAUUUUAUUCAAACGUGAAAACUUUUUUUUUAAGUGUAUGAAAAAAAAUUGUGUCGAAGUUUUAAGAGAAAAUAUUGAAAAAAAAUAAACGCGAUCUUUUUGUUUUUGUCUAGUCAAAAUGUCACAAAACGCCGUUUUUUACAUUUUUGUUACAAGUAUGAUAAGUC
Molecule: long non-coding RNA, 1048 nt
Filed under: Mytilus galloprovincialis (Mediterranean mussel)
Lineage: Eukaryota; Metazoa; Mollusca; Bivalvia; Mytilida; Mytilidae
Source: RNAcentral